GAUGAACGCUGGCGGCGUGCCCAAUACAUGCAAGUCGAGCGAACGGACGAGAAGCUUGCUUCUCUGAUGUUAGCGGCGGACGGGUGAGUAACACGUGGAUAACCUACCUAUAAGACUGGGAUAACUUCGGGAAACCGUAGCUAAUACCGGAUAAUAUUUUGAACCGCAUGGUUCAAAAGUGAAAGACGGUCUUGCUGUCACUUAUAGAUGGAUCCGCGCUGCAUUAGCUAGUUGGUAAGGUAACGGCUUACCAAGGCAACGAUGCAUAGCCGACCUGAGAGGGUGAUCGGACACACUGGAACUGAGACACGGUCCAGACUCCUACGGGAGGCAGCAGUAGGGAAUCUUCCGCAAUGGGCGAAAGCCUGACGGAGCAACGCCGCGUGAGUGAUGAAGGUCUUCGGAUCGUAAAACUCUGUUAUUAGGGAAGAACAUAUGUGUAAGUAACUGUGCACAUCUUGACGGUACCUAAUCAGAAAGCCACGGCUAACUACGUG
RNAcentral lists this ribosomal RNA (497 nucleotides) under uncultured bacterium. Its description in RNAcentral is "partial 16S ribosomal RNA". It matches the Rfam family "Bacterial small subunit ribosomal RNA", at positions 28 to 507 of the family's 1533-position model. The record is from RNAcentral.